AUUUUUUUAUCUGUCUUCUCCCCAUCUAUACUGAUUGAAGUGGAUUUAACAAGUGACAUCAAUAAGGGAUCAUAGAUUUCACCUGGAUUCACCUGGUCAGUCCAUUUAACGGAAAGAGCAGGUGUUCUUAAUAUUUGUACACUCAGUGUAUAUGAAGCAAUAUUGUGAGAAUUAUGCUACAUCACUUCAAAAGGCAAAUUUACCAAAAAAUAUAAGUAAUCAAAAAAUUUAUAUUGAGCACUAUUUGAAAUCAGUGUUAUUAUCAUGCUAAAACAUUGAUUUAAUAUCGGGUUUAAAACGAAUAACUUGCCUCAGUAAUAUCGGAGUUGUAUUUCAUGGGGACGGUUGAGAGGAAAGGGGCAUAUUUCCUUUAGACCGGAGAGUCAGUCAAGACGCAUAUACCAUUUCUAUCCAAGCCGUUUGCAGAGAUAGUGCGCUCACUGCACUGAGAGCAGCGGUCACAAGUCAAGUCCGUCUCGGCAAGUCAAUUUUGUAUCUACGGUGGGGCGAGUUUGGCAGAGAAAUUAUACAAGCCAUGAGUGUUGGAGAAGAUAAGAAAACUGAUGCAUUGCUGAACAGAGAACUAUUUGGAAGAAAUUGAAGAUUUCAAGGACGCACGGAUUUGAAUUUAACUGGAGGGGCUGAGAGCUGAGGGGAAGAGUGACAUAAAGAAGAGAGAAGUUCAUUAUCCAGCUGAAAAGGAAACCAAUGGCUUUCACAGUCUCCAUGGGAACCGGCCUUUCUUUUGCUGUCAAACCUAUGAUAAGAAACCCUCUCCUUUCUCCCGUUCCAAGGCAGCCCUUUUCAAACCGGGAAGCUCCAGGCAGGAUCAGGGAGGCAGGAGCAGCCGUCCCUCUAGUCCCUGUCUCAGCCCAGCCGCUGGGGUCUGCAUGGGGCUGGGAAAGCCACCCCCUCGUCAGUCCUCUCCGCGAACCCAUCCUCAUCCCAGGUUCCCCUCCCCCUGCCUCUGGCCCUGUCGUCUGGGAGCCCCCGAAGGUGUGA
RNAcentral lists this long non-coding RNA (1002 nucleotides) under Salmo trutta (river trout). RNAcentral describes it as "lncRNA (ENSSTUG00000020720.1)". Lineage: Eukaryota; Metazoa; Chordata; Actinopteri; Salmoniformes; Salmonidae. The record is from RNAcentral.